This 483-nucleotide ribosomal RNA is filed under the name uncultured bacterium. Its description in RNAcentral is "partial 16S ribosomal RNA". It matches the Rfam family "Bacterial small subunit ribosomal RNA", at positions 30 to 507 of the family's 1533-position model. The record is from RNAcentral.
AUUGAACGCUGGCGGCAGGCCUAACACAUGCAAGUCGAGCGGAUGAAGGAGCUUGCUCCUGGAUUCAGCGGCGGACGGGUGAGGAAUGCCUAGGAAUCUGCCUGGUAGUGGGGGAUAACGUUCGGAAACGGGCGCUAAUACCGCAUACGUCCCGGGGGAGAAAGGGGGGGAUCUUCGGACCUCACGCUAUCAGGUGAGCCUAGGUCGGAUUAGCUAGUUGGUGGGGUAAAGGCCUACCAAGGCGACGAUCCGUAACUGGUCUGAGAGGAUGAUCAGUCACACUGGAACUGAGACACGGUCCAGACUCCUACGGGAGGCAGCAGUGGGGAAUAUUGGACAAUGGGCGAAAGCCUGAUCCAGCCAUGCCGCGUGUGUGAAGAAGGUCUUCGGAUUGUAAAGCACUUUAAGUUGGGAGGAAGGGCAGUAAGUUAAUACCUUGCUGUUUUGACGUUACCAACAGAAUAAGCACCGGCUAACUUCGUG